AUUGAACGCUGGCAGCAUGCCUUACACAUGCAAGUCGAACGGCAGCACGGGAGCAAUCCUGGUGGCGAGUGGCGAACGGGUGAGUAAUACAUCGGAACGUGCCCAAUCGUGGGGGAUAACGCAGCGAAAGCUGUGCUAAUACCGCAUACGAUCUACGGAUGAAAGCAGGGGAUCGCAAGACCUUGCGCGAAUGGAGCGGCCGAUGGCAGAUUAGGUAGUUGGUGAGGUAAAGGCUCACCAAGCCGUCGAUCUGUAGCUGGUCUGAGAGGACAACCAGCCACACUGGGACUGAGACACGGCCCAGACUCCUACGGGAGGCAGCAGUGGGGAAUUUUGGACAGUGGGCGAAAGCCUGAUCCAGCCAUGCCGCGUGCAGGAUGAAGGCCUUCGGGUUGUAAACUGCUUUUGUACGGAACGAAACGGCCUUUUCUAAUAAAGAGGGCUAAUGACGGUACCGUAAGAAUAAGCACCGGCUAACUACGUGCCAGCAGCCGCGGUAAUACGUAGGGUGCAAGCGUUAAUCGGAAUUACUGGGCGUAAAGCGUGCGCAGGCGGUUAUGUAAGACAGUUGUGAAAUCCCCGGGCUCAACCUGGGAACUGCAUCUGUGACUGCAUAGCUAGAGUACGGUAGAGGGGGAUGGAAUUCCGCGUGUAGCAGUGAAAUGCGUAGAUAUGCGGAGGAACACCGAUGGCGAAGGCAAUCCCCUGGACCUGUACUGACGCUCAUGCACGAAAGCGUGGGGAGCAAACAGG
This 753-nucleotide ribosomal RNA is filed under the name uncultured Comamonadaceae bacterium. RNAcentral's name for it is "bacterial SSU rRNA". It matches the Rfam family "Bacterial small subunit ribosomal RNA", at positions 28 to 776 of the family's 1533-position model. The record is from RNAcentral. Lineage: Bacteria; Pseudomonadati; Pseudomonadota; Betaproteobacteria; Burkholderiales; Comamonadaceae.